Molecule: transfer-messenger RNA, 390 nt
Filed under: Candidatus Omnitrophota
Lineage: Bacteria; Pseudomonadati
Also listed under: 1 other name
Description: Zapsychrus sp018812705 Standard tmRNA
Rfam family: transfer-messenger RNA
About the family: Bacterial tmRNA, also known as 10Sa RNA or SsrA, is named for its dual tRNA and mRNA-like properties.
Source: RNAcentral
GGGGGUGACAUGGUUUCGACUUGAGUUGUUCCUGUAUAGGUGGCAUGCCGAGGAAGCCUGGUUGGCCUCGUAAAAAAAUCUGGGCAACAAAUAAAUGCAGAAAAUGACGCAUUAAUUGCGAGUGCUGAAAGCAUAGCUAACAGCGCUCCUCAAACAGUCGCAGUCUAAAUCAGAUUGUGCCCUUUUAUAAGAUAUGCCUGUAGUUUUAUAAAAGGAUCUUAACAGGCUAGUGUGGUCUUGGCCUGCAAGACCAUUGCGAAAUUAUAUGGCUGGUCAUAUUAAAUCUUGUUUAUCGGAGUUGAUAUGAUGAGAUCAAAUGAUAAACUAAGCAUGUAGAGGCUUAUACAAUACACUAUAAGGACCGGGGUUCGAUUCCCCGCACCUCCACCA